This is a non-coding RNA of Gasterosteus aculeatus aculeatus (three-spined stickleback), 1800 nucleotides long. Lineage: Eukaryota; Metazoa; Chordata; Actinopteri; Perciformes; Gasterosteidae. The record is from RefSeq and is a predicted model, not a curated record.
GAGGUGGGGAGUCCGAGUCCUCUUCUGGGUGGGGCUCUGGCACCAGCAUCUCCUCGGGUGGGACGGUCACCAGCAGGUACGGGGUGGGGCAGAUGAAGGAGUUCCUGCUGACCACCAACGAUAGGAGUGAGGGUGGAGGACAGCUUCUCCGACGUGGAGAAGUUCGCUCGCUCCGCUCGGCACGGCAGCACCAAGAAAGGAGCUGGAAGUUUCACCCAGCAGGAGGUCUCCAGACUGAGGAGCUACUCGUAAAGAUCCAAAAGGAAGGAGGAAGCACCACUGGGACCGAGUAGCUCGGUAUCCUGCGAGGAGCUACCGGGUGGAACUCCUUAGUGAGCGGGGCUGGAAGCCAUCAGAUGUUUGGUGCCAUGGUGGAUAAAAAGCUGGGGGAAGAGCUUGGAUUUGAAAGCAGCUUGGAUUUGAUGGCACGCACCUUGCAGUGUGUGUUUAGGUGUCUGUGUUUGCCAAUGUGCUGGUAGUUAUUCAUGGUGGCAUUCUUCUACUGUUGGACAGUACGAUUUUUGUUGUUUAAUGUUUUGGUUUUGGGAAAUUCUGUCUUAAUGUAAAGCUAAACGCCUCAUUAAAGCAAAUGUAUGAAUGUAUGAAUUUGGUCAUUCAGGUCGGUGUGACCUGAUAUCUGUUGGUACUUUGUCCUAAACAGCGGUGUGUAGGUUUAAAUUGCAAUUUGAUCGGUUUUGGAAACUGCUUGAAUUUAUCUGGUUGUGUUAUCUUUUUCCCUCGUUCUGUCUGUCUCAUUCAUUAUUAAUCAUCCAACAGUGUCCUGCUCUACUCCCUGUUCAUUAAUUAUGGCUUCGCAGUAGAAAACUAGAAAUCUGGGCCUCAGCCCCCGACAUCGUUGUCUGUGAACAACCUGAUGCACUCAGAAUGAAAUUAACAAGAAAGGGAUAGAAAAGAUCACUCAUACUGUGUAGCAGUAUUUGGAAACAUUAUUGCAGUACCUGACAGCAAACACCACACACGUGAGGUGAGCACAGUGGUAUGUUACUGCCACUACAUAAAAAGUGUAUUUUCCCAUUGUGAUGAAUAAGUUAUUUGAAAUACCACACACAUUACAUUUAUAUCGGACUGAACGGCACCAAACUGCCCCAGGGAGAGGCGCCGAGAUCGGGGCUAAACUAACCUAGGAUUUAAGGCCGCUCCACUUCCUUCCUGGAUAUCGGAGUUCCAGUCACAUAAAAAUAAGAUGGAUGAAAUCAAGUCGGUGACAGCACACAUCUUCCAGAGAUGGAUCAUUUUAUAAUGCCAUCAGUUUGUUGCAUGAGGAAGAUAAAUGAUCCCGGAAUCCGUUGCAAACCUUGUAAAUACAUACACUGAUAAAAUAGAAUGAAAUCGUCUUAUUAAAUACUUUGUUCUUUACAUAGUUGAAUGUGUUGACAACAAAAUUGGAUUCAGGUCUGGGGAACCGGUGGGCCAGUCCAUAGCAUCAAUGCCUUCGUCUUGCAGGAACUGCCGACACACUCCAGCCACAUGAGGUCUAGCAUUGUCUUGCAUUAGGUGGAACCCAGGGCCAGCAUAUGGUCUCACAAGGGGUUUUAGGAUCUUAUCUCGGUACCUAAUGGCAUAGAGGCUACCUCUGGCGAGCACAUCAAGGGCUGUGCCAUGUCAUGAAAUUGAUUGUCAGUGUUGCUUCCUAAGUGGGCAGUUUGAUUUCACAGAAGUGUGAUUGACUUGGAGUUACAUUGUGUUGUUUAAGUGUUCCCUUUAUUUUUUGAGCAGUGCACGUUUUGAAUAAAAAGUACCAUAAAGUCAAUUAAAGAUGGCAUCAGCCAAUUCAAAAAG